GAUGAACGCUGGCGGCGUGCCUAAUACAUGCAAGUCGAGCGAACGGACGAGAAGCUUGCUUCUCUGAUGUUAGCGGCGGACGGGUGAGUAACACGUGGAUAACCUACCUAUAAGACUGGGAUAACUUCGGGAAACCGGAGCUAAUACCGGAUAAUAUUUUGAACCGCAUGGUUCAAAAGUGAAAGACGGUCUUGCUGUCACUUAUAGAUGGAUCCGCGCUGCAUUAGCUAGUUGGUAAGGUAACGGCUUACCAAGGCAACGAUGCAUAGCCGACCUGAGAGGGUGAUCGGCCACACUGGAACUGAGGCACGGUCCAGACUCCUACGGGAGGCAGCAGUAGGGAAUCUUCCGCGAAGGGCGAAAGCCUGACGGAGCAACGCCGCGUGAGUGAUGAAGGUCUUCGGAUCGUAAAACUCUGUUAUUAGGGAAGAACAUAUGUGUAAGUAACUGUGCACAUCUUGACGGUACCUAAUCAGAAAGCCACGGCUAACUACGUG
This 497-nucleotide ribosomal RNA is filed under the name uncultured bacterium. RNAcentral's name for it is "partial 16S ribosomal RNA". It matches the Rfam family "Bacterial small subunit ribosomal RNA", at positions 28 to 507 of the family's 1533-position model. The record is from RNAcentral.